GUGGGGAAUCUUCCGCAAUGGACGAAAGUCUGACGGAGCAACGCCGCGUGAGUGAUGAAGGUCUUCGGAUUGUAAAGCUCUGUUAAUCGGGACGAAAGAGCCUAGUGUGAAUAAUGCUAGGAAGUGACGGUACCGGAAUAGAAAGCCACGGCUAACUACGUGCCAGCAGCCGCGGUAAUACGUAGGUGGCAAGCGUUGUCCGGAAUUAUUGUGCGUAAAGCGCGCGCAGGCGGAUCUGCCAGUCUGUCUUAAAAGUUCGGGGCUUAACCCCGUGAUGGGAUGGAAACUACAGAUCUAGAGUAUCGGAGAGGAAAGUGGAAUUCCUAGUGUAGCGGUGAAAUGCGUAGAUAUUAGGAAGAACACCAGUGGCGAAGGCGACUUUCUGGACGAAAACUGACGCUGAGGCGCGAAAGCCAGGGGAGCGAACGGGAUUAGAAACCCCAGUAGUCC
This 450-nucleotide ribosomal RNA is filed under the name uncultured bacterium. RNAcentral describes it as "partial 16S ribosomal RNA". It matches the Rfam family "Bacterial small subunit ribosomal RNA", at positions 354 to 796 of the family's 1533-position model. The record is from RNAcentral.